This 253-nucleotide ribosomal RNA is filed under the name uncultured bacterium. RNAcentral describes it as "partial 16S ribosomal RNA". It matches the Rfam family "Bacterial small subunit ribosomal RNA", at positions 524 to 776 of the family's 1533-position model. The record is from RNAcentral.
UACGGGGGGGGCAAGCGUUGUUCGGAAUUACUGGGCGUAAAGGGCUCGUAGGCGGCCAACUAAGUCAGACGUGAAAUCCCUCGGCUCAACCGGGGAACUGCGUCUGAGACUGAUGAGCUCGAGUGCAGGAGAGGAACGCGGAAUUCCAGGUGUAGCGGUGAAAUGCGUAGAUAUCUGGAGGAACACCGGUGGCGAAGGCGGCGUUCUGGACUGCAACUGACACUGAGGAACGAAAGCCAGGGGAGCAAACGGG